Molecule: RNA transcript, 922 nt
Organism: Fragaria vesca subsp. vesca
Lineage: Eukaryota; Viridiplantae; Streptophyta; Magnoliopsida; Rosales; Rosaceae
Exons: 2
Source: RefSeq, a predicted model, not a curated record
CUUUCACUUGCUACUCCAAGAAACCCAGCUGAGAUAGCUUGGCAGGCGAGACGAAGAGAAUGGGUUGGUGAUCAGUCUCAGAAAUCACAAAGAGCGCCAAGGGAACCGAUAAUGAGGUAAGUGCUUCUAUUAAACUUUUUUCCAAACUUUUUACUGUACUGUUAUAUAUAGCUUGCACCAGUUCUUUGGUUAUGCCUUAUAAUUCUCCAUAGAUUUCUUGUCUUUCCUAUAGAUCUACGAAAAUUGUAUAUUUAGAGUUUUCCUUGGGGCAUUAAUAGAUCUCAAUUACGGAUGAUCUACCAGGAAACUGAAGGAUUCAUCAGUAUUUGUGUCAUUUUUUGUUGAACUCAGAACUUCUACUAUUAUUUUUUGGUCUGAGGGUAUCCUCUGAAUAAGAAAAGAAUGGCGGUACUAGAUAACACCAGUCAUGAUUUUAGUGUGUCAACAUACCAUAUGAACCAAAUGGUUUCUUCUGAAGCCCAUAUUGUCUUACCCUCUGCCUUUCAGGGAUCUUUUCCACAGUUGAAUUCUAAAUUUGGCAUGUGAUUUACAUCAUAUUAGAGCUUGUUGAAAUAUUUUUUAUGUAAAAGGUAAUCCUUGAGGAAAAGAAACUGGCAUCUCUUUUGGAAAUAUUCUUGCUUAAAAAGUCAGAACAUAUCUCACCUUACAUGUGGUGAGUGAUCUUGUCGCGUAGCGUACAUAUGCUUGUUCAAUGGAUCCACAGCCUCUUUACUUACCUGUUCAGCAUGGUAGUAUUUUUGUGGAUCGUAAAGACGAAUAUAUUCAAGGAAUCUAUUUUUUUUUUCUUUCAGCUGGACCACAACUUAUGAGGAUCUUCUUUUAACUACUGAACCUUUCCAGGAGCCCAUACCUUUAGCUGUAAGUUUCUUGUUUGCUUCCUUUCUUCCCUACCCUGGGUGAU